CACGUAGGCGGAUCGUUAAGUCAGGGGUGAAAUCCCGAGGCUCAACCUCGGAACUGCCUUUGAUACUGGCGAUCUUUGAGUCCGGGAGAGGUGAGUGGAAUUCCGAGUGUAGAGGUGAAAUUCGUAGAUAUUCGGAAGAACACCAGUGGCGAAGGCGGCUCACUGGCCCGGUACUGACGCUGAGGUGCGAAAGCGUGGGGAGCAAACA
RNAcentral lists this ribosomal RNA (208 nucleotides) under uncultured bacterium. RNAcentral describes it as "partial 16S ribosomal RNA". It matches the Rfam family "Bacterial small subunit ribosomal RNA", at positions 568 to 774 of the family's 1533-position model. The record is from RNAcentral.